Molecule: ribosomal RNA, 483 nt
Filed under: uncultured bacterium
Lineage: Bacteria
Description: bacterial SSU rRNA
Rfam family: Bacterial small subunit ribosomal RNA
Source: RNAcentral
AAUGAACGUUGGCGGCGUGGAUUAGGCAUGCAAGUCGAGCGCGAACCCCGCAAGGGGUGAAAGCGGCGAAAGGGAGAGUAACGCGUGGGUAUCUGCCCUCGGGACUGGGAUAGCUGCGGGAAACUGCAGGUAAUACCAGAUGACGUCCCCGGACCAAAGGUGUGAUUCCGCCUGAGGAUGAGCCCGCGUCCUAUUAGCUAGUUGGUAGGGUAAUGGCCUACCAAGGCAAUGAUGGGUACUGGGUGUGAGAGCACGACCCAGCUCACUGGGACUGAGACACUGCCCAGACACCUACGGGUGGCUGCAGUCGAGAAUCUUCGGCAAUGGGCGAAAGCCUGACCGAGCGACGCCGCGUGUGGGAUGAAGGCCUUCGGGUUGUAAACCGCUGUCAGAGGGGAGGAAUGGGCGGAGGGUAAUCUCUUCGUUUUGACCUAUCCUCAGAGGAAGUACGGGCUAAGUUCGUGCCAGCCGCCGCCGUAACAC